Cavia porcellus (domestic guinea pig) is the source of this 476-nucleotide long non-coding RNA. RefSeq lists it as uncharacterized. The transcript has 2 exons. The record is from RefSeq and is a predicted model, not a curated record. NCBI's taxonomy places the organism in Eukaryota, Metazoa, Chordata, Mammalia, Rodentia, Caviidae.
UUUGUAUUGGCCAUGGUUGCAGGAUGUGAUGACCAUGGUCCCUGAGGGCAGCUGGCGCCGGGACUCAGAGCACCUUGAGUCACUUUCUGUCCUUCUUUCCAUCCCCUCUCUCCAUCUCCUGGUCCCCAUGUCAUCUUUUCUUUGCUCUGUGAUUUGCUUACGCUUUGGGUUCUCAUGGGAGAGACGCUUGGCAGGGUUUCAGCCUGCAUCUUCUGCUUCCCCUUGCGCAGGGCCGGGUGACACAGGUGUGCAUGGCUGUCAAGCCCACCGAUCCUGUGGUGAAGACACAGUCUGUGGGUUCCCCGAGGUGCAGCAAGGACGCCUCAAUUUUAAAGGUUGAACCUCUCAGUUUUACAAAGGAGAGAGGAGCACUGGAUCCUGUGGUUAAUUCAGUGUGUAAAAGAACUCUAUUCCUGUAUGCAUUCAAGAAUCCCUCAGCCAAUCAAUAAACACUCGCUGGGCCUGGCUGCGGUGCA